UUGUUUUUAAAAUAAUACAGAAUGUGAAUAAUCCCUAAAAUUUCAGCCAUAAGGCUUUUAAUAACAUCCUUAUCUAAUAAAUUGCUACUGCAUCCUUAACUAUUUAAAAAUAUUGAGUUUGCCCGGGAAAAAGUUUCCAUACAUCACAUUCAGUCCAAAAGCUGCUUUCCUUUUUAUGUGAAGUUUCCUUUGCUAUCCACAGGUCCCCAAAGUGAUGUAAUCUUCCUCAUUAGUACCUGAAAAGCAU
RNAcentral lists this long non-coding RNA (247 nucleotides) under Capsicum annuum. RNAcentral's name for it is "long non-coding RNA (CANN_LNC008732)". The record is from RNAcentral. Lineage: Eukaryota; Viridiplantae; Streptophyta; Magnoliopsida; Solanales; Solanaceae.